RNAcentral lists this ribosomal RNA (351 nucleotides) under uncultured fungus. RNAcentral's name for it is "eukaryotic LSU rRNA". The stretch from base 1 to 125 matches the Rfam family "5.8S ribosomal RNA", at positions 30 to 154 of the family's 154-position model. The record is from RNAcentral. Lineage: Eukaryota; Fungi.
GCAUCGAUGAAGAACGCAGCGAAAUGCGAUAANUAAUGUGAAUUGCAGAAUUCAGUGAAUCAUCGAGUCUUUGAACGCACAUUGCGCCCCCUGGUAUUCCGGGGGGCAUGCCUGUCCGAGCGUCAUUGCUGCCCUCAAGCACGGCUUGUGUGUUGGGCUUCCGUCCCUGGUAACGGGGACGGGCCCAAAAGGCAGUGGCGGCACCAUGUCUGGUCCUCGAGCGUAUGGGGCUUUGUCACCCGCUCCCGUAGGUCCAGCUGGCAGCUAGCCUCGCAACCAAUCUUUUUAACCAGGUUGACCUCGGAUCAGGUAGGGAUACCCGCUGAACUUAAGCAUAUCAAUAAGCGGAGG